UAAAAAUUGUUUAAAACGAAAUUAUAACCAAGACAGUGCGCGUAUUGUCAAGCAUAUAUAUUGUGUAUUGGUACGUAAGAACAAAAGAUGUAAUUAAUUUUGAUAGAUCUGGGGAGUACUUGUCAGUGCACCCCACUAAAGCAGACCCUGCUUAUGAAGUCACCUUGGUGAAUGCAACACAGUGGCAGCACUAGGCACCCCGAACAUAGCAGGGCAGCUUAGGAUGACAUGGAACAGCUCUUUGACUGGAGGAGAGAAGGUCAACAUAGAGCUGUGGGGUUACAGAGAGUUCAACAGCAGCACAGAGGCGAGGAUGAAUGGAUCAUACUCCCUGCAGGCUGAGCUCAGCUACCUGUACUCCCUCACCAGGAAUGUGCCCAACAUUGGUUCCUUCAGUUUUAUCCCCAAACCCUCCGAUGGAUACUCUGACUGGGAGCUGGGGAAUAUCCGUAUAACUACUAGUUCUAAAUCAGAGCAAGGUAUCAUAAGACACUCAGAAAUAUCUUAUUACAUUAUAAAACAUUUUCUGACGGUAUUUUAAUCAUAUCUGUAAAAAGUGCAUAUUCAUUGUGAUUAUGCAAACUUCACAACUGAUAAGAAUCGGCACAGUUGUAGGGAACAAAAUGGUCAAAAGUGGCAUGUAGAGUUGAAAACGCUUUUAAAGUACAGUAUAUUUACUUUAUACCUAU
This is a long non-coding RNA of Monopterus albus (swamp eel), 689 nucleotides long. RefSeq lists it as uncharacterized. The record is from RefSeq and is a predicted model, not a curated record. The transcript has 3 exons. NCBI's taxonomy places the organism in Eukaryota, Metazoa, Chordata, Actinopteri, Synbranchiformes, Synbranchidae.